CCCCCAUCAUAAAUCCCACUUCUCAAAGUGAAGGCGAGGAACGUGCUUUCUUAGACUUCCUUGUAGCUAAGGUAUAGGCGUGUGACCUAGAUUCCACCAAUCAGAUGUAGUAACAUGAGACUUUGAUUUGGAAAGAGCCACUGAGGGAGCAGGCAUCCCAGAGAACAGGGCUAGAGGAGGUACCUGGCUUUUAGAGCAGCAGAAGAGAUGUUUGGGGAUCCAAUUUUCACUAUUGUUGAAGGGGGUGAGGGGAGGCAAGUUGUAGAAUUUGUGCUGAUUGAUAGCCACCAUGUGGCUUUGCUAGAAAAGUACCUCCUGGUGGUCUGGGUAUCAUCCCUGAAUACUGAACCUUCGUAACCUUCUGGAUUCUGUGAGCUUCUUAAUAUUUUUAAUAAAUUCCUUUUCUGUUAGAGUGGAUCCUGUUGUUUGCAGCUAAGAACUCUGAUAAAAAUGAAUGGAUGAUGAGUAGUGAAAGAACGCUACUUGUAUAAGAAUAAUUUUUAAAAGCUACCAGAAACUCAGACCUCGAAAAGCUCAAAGUCCAGUAGCAGAUCAGCACGGGGAAGGAUUGCAACAAUUUCCGAAGGGAAAAAGAAGUCCUCGUGUUGUAGCAGGUUGGAAGCCACUGAGCUGGGCUGUCCAGGCAGCGUGUCAUUUCCCGUUUAGCCAAGUGGGAGUCAUGAGACCUGAGGUCAGGUUCCAGCCCUCCCCUGCCUGCUUGGGUGAUCCUGGGGGCAGCCCCGUGUGACUUGGGGAGCUUUGGUUUCCUCAUCCUGGAGCAGAGAUCAUGGAAAUUAUUUGGCAGGAUUGUCAAGAAGAUUAAAUUAGAUAACGAAAGGGCUUUGAAAGCUGACGUGUUGCACAAACGUAAGGAUCAUUGUUGUCAUCGUCUCACACAUAUUGUCAGCUUCUUAAGGCAGGGACAGUGUCUUCUGUUUUUGUCUUCAGUUCCCGCAGUGCCGCCCACCACCCCGUGAGCCGCACUCAACACAGGGCUGUGGAGAUGACCUCGCAGAAGCGCUACAAAGUGACUAGCACGACGGCUCAGCCCCUAGACGUUGCUUCAUACGCCGUAGCUAUUUCCUGCGUGUGUGCUGCUGUACAGACAGGCGGCACCGUGCAGAGGUUCAGAGCAUGGACUGGUUCGAAUCCUCUCUCUGUCGUGAGCUAGGUGUGCGCACGUUAGCACUAACCUGCCCUGGUGCCCUCGUCUGUCACACGGCUGAUGAGAAUAGUAGCUAGUUAAUGGGGCGGCUGUGAGAGCUGAAGGAGUUUAGUCUGUGCCACAGAGCCAGGCACAAAUCAAGCCCUCGGUAGGCAUCAGUUGUUGUGACUAUUUUACCGUUAUGUCCUGAGCGAUGCCUCUAGGGGCAGUCUGAGACGAUCAUGAGACUGAGAAGUAAGAAAUCUAGCUCCUGGAUUUUGUUCAGAGUCAGAAAGGCCUUCAAAGACAGUCAGGCCAGGCUCCUGGGGUCAGCACAGAUGACGUCACCAUGAACCCACUGAGCAUCGUUCCCCCAGGUGUGGGCUGGAUCCCUAGGCCAGACAUCGUUGGGCAAAAAGUGUGUGAAUUGAAUGUUUGGACAAAUAUCACAACUGCCCAA
Non-coding RNA from Vicugna pacos (alpaca), 1604 nucleotides. Lineage: Eukaryota; Metazoa; Chordata; Mammalia; Artiodactyla; Camelidae. The record is from RefSeq and is a predicted model, not a curated record.